This is a non-coding RNA of Vicugna pacos (alpaca), 3642 nucleotides long. The record is from RefSeq and is a predicted model, not a curated record. Lineage: Eukaryota; Metazoa; Chordata; Mammalia; Artiodactyla; Camelidae.
CACUAGGGCCAGGACUGGUCAUUUUUAUAAUGAAAAUUUUGAAAAUGUGUACACAAAAGCAAAGAAAGGAGCAAAAAUGAACUGUGAGGCCUGGAUCUUUGAAAAGCCUGAGUCGGGGAGGAGAGAGAGAAUGAGGGGACGGGGGUGCGGGGGGACCGGUGCUGCAGAGGAGGGUCCUUUCCAGCUCUCCUGGCCUCACUGCUCACAGGGCAGAGCCAGGCCACCCCCAGUGCAGGCCCUACCACACAUCUGCAGAGCACGGUCAUGGCCUCAGCUCUCACACCCUCAGCACCUGGGUGACCGAACUCCCCUCUGUACUCAAAGCCCCCAGAACGUUCCCCUCCUCCUCCAGAAGUCCCAACUGAGAGCUGUAACCUCGUAAACGUUUAACACCUAUGUUCCCCGUCUUCUUUCACUCUGAUCACGUCUGUACCGGUGCAAACUCUGCACGAUGUAUGAAGUACACACAAAUAUGCUCUGAAUUCAUCGUUGCCGCCUUUCUGUUCGGCCCUGUGCGUCACUCACAAGGAGUCUGUCACCGACAGAGGACAGAGCCAGUCUCCACAUUUUCAUUUUGCUCCAACGUACGCAGAACACCCUUUGUUUAAGAUGCCUUUUCAUACUCUUGCCCUCUAGCAACGUCCUAAGUGAGUAACCUGAAGUUCUGCAGGUGACCUGACUCACCCAGGGUCGGGUGAGCAGUUCCAGACCUCAACCUGGGGUCGAAACUCCAAGCCCCUGCAGCCACCAGAAUGCCUCUGUCACCAAGAACUUCUUAAGAGUCUUCCAACCUCACCACAAAAAACUAGGGAGAAGGGGAGGGUGUAGCUCGGUGGUAGAGCGUAUGCUUAGCUUGCAUGAGGUCCUGGGUUCAAUCCUCAGUACCUCCAAUAAAACAAAAAAACUUUUAAUGCAAAGAAAACGCAGCAUGUCAAAAUAUCAAGAUGACAAAUUUGGUUAAAACUAGAAGGUCAAGCUCAACUUUUAAAAGGAUAAAAAGCUAUUUUGAAUAACUGGUUUCACCUCAUCCCUGUCUAUAAUGUGCUGUGAUAACAUCAGGCCUGUGUGGACAUUAAUCAGUUAUGAAACAGCACCUUCAAGGAGUGACUUUUCUUAUUGACCUGAAAUCAUGAAACCAUGAAAGUUACAUCUGACUGUAAAGAGUCACUCAGUCACCUGACUGCAGCUGUGGUCACUUAAUCACAUCCUAAGGCCAAUCAAGUAAACACUGUGAGAGCUUAAGGGGGCAAUCAUGUUUCAAAAUUACGCAGAGUAAAUCUCAUCUUUCCUGUCUAAUAAAAGUCACUUCCUAUAAAACAGAAGUUCAGAAUAUAUAAGCAAUAAAUGAACAGUGACAAUGUUAUCCAUUGCAAUGGUCCACCUGGAGGGAUAUUACGUAACUCUUGCACAAAAUCCACAAAGUUGACAGAACACUGACAGCUACUCCAUUUUUACUUUGUGGCUCAACUCCAAAGUGUUGCCAGGAAGGGACGAUUCAGGCAUCUGCCGACCAGUUUCUGGAGCCGUGGGUAGACAGGGGCGAGAGGAAACACACACAGGUUUUUAAAGUGCCAUGGCUCAUGCAACCGCAUGGGGUCGCGUGGACCCCAGGCCGGCCUGCGGUCCCUCCAGCACAGAGCUCACAGCCGGGGUUCUCGACCAACCCCGUUAUCCCCGGACCCACGGUGAGCGUGGAUUCUAGAAUUCCACACCUUCUAAGAGCGUCAUGCUGUUGGAGGAGAGCGCGACCCUUGGCUCCGCCCUUGAAGGCAUAGUGCUUAUUAGGCCUGGAAAGCGUUGCUGUGCUGUGAACCCAUCUGAGGUUAAAACCUACCCGAGUAUUUGGUUCCUCCCAGGAGCACCUAAGAUGAGCGAGAAUUCCCUUCUGUGCUCUUGGAGUGGUUUGCCAGGAGCAUUUCUCUGCUUUAUAAUCUUAAAAAAGGAAGCAUAUUAUUGUUGUAAGUUCUGCUAUAUGACAAAACGUGAGAUAAAGCAACUUUAACAAGGAUACAAACCAAAAUAACAGCUGAAGAAUAUUAUCUGUUACCUGGUCGACAGGGUAAACAGACGAGUCACACCCUAGGCUCCUCUCCCAUCUCCUGCCAAACCUCUCAAUCAUAGAAGUAAUUUAAAGUCAGCAUUUUAAAACGCCAGACGUCUUAAAGCUGUCGGGGGCCGUGCACUAGGCUUGCAGAAGGAAGACAACAGGGCUAAAUGCCACAAAGCUAAUUUAAACAUUAAGUGUCCUCAAAGCCCCCACCCUCUGUAGAAGUUCUGCCCUGCAGAUGGUGGCUGAUGUAAAUCACAGCUAACAUACAAAGACGAAAAUGCCUGGGAAAUGGACAGUAGCAGGUAAGGUAAUAUUUUAGCAAAUUUAUUAUCAGCAUUUGCUAAUUUUAUGGAGAUGGGCUGAGCCAUCUUUAAAUGCUAUUUCAGACCCACCUCAGAGCACACUGUGAAGAUACUACAGCCUGAACCAGCUGAAGAGGAUGCUUCCUCUCGGUGACUUUAACAAUCUCUGCUGCUAGGGGCUUCCAACAGCUUAUUCAAGUCUCCUGCCCAGUUUUAAUAGUCACGGUGGAUAGAGGUAGAAAGACCGAGUAAGUCAGGUCUAGGUCACCACAAAGACCCGGAUGCUCGUGUUUCUGGUCGAGCAGAACACAAACAAGAGGGAAAUGGCACCAGCGUGUAUGGGUUCAACAGUCGAGUCGAUUUGCAGAUCCUAUUGUGGUUUCUAACACUAAUAAAAUCCUGUGUGACUCACACAAGUCCCUGAGCUUCUGUGUAACCAUCUAGAAAGUGUGACUAAUAGUAGCUACAUCAUAGACAAGAAAUUUAGGAGAGAGAACCAUACAAAGGACCCGUGUGCCAUCCAGCAGGAGUAGACGUUCGCUAAGCCGUAAAGUAAUUUGGGUCCAUCUUCUUCUUUUUUCUUUUUUUUCUUUUCAGGAGCAAACAAACAUAUUGAUUCACUCUCUGAUAGAUGGCUCCCCUGUUUUUAAAACAUAAGGAAGUACAAGAGGCUGCUAUGGUGGCACCGUUUUCCACCUAGAAAUCACGUUAUUGUGGACCCCGGGGACAGGACCGUAGCACCAUCAAAACUCGGGGAGCUUCCCAUUUCCACACUGGAUGCACUGACCUCUACACACAGGGCCACCAGGAAGGGCAAAGGGGUGGGACACCGGGGCGAUGCCGAAGAGGGUGGGGCACGAGGUUGGGGCAGAAAGAGCUCUGACUGAAGCCUCCAGUCCCGUCUAGUUUAUUCUAGUGUUCUUCAGAUACAUCAGUGUUUUCAUAAAUGUUCUAUGAGUACUUGAAAAGAGUGUAUUAUGCACCUGUUGAUGUAUGGUUCUACACAUGUCAAUUAGGUCACAUUUGUUACUAAUUUUUAUUGUCUCCAUUUUCUAUCAGACACUAAGAAAAGAAGAUUAAAAUUUUCAAACGUUGUUACUCUGUCCAACAUUGCACUGGAACACCCAACCGGUGUGAUAAAGCAAGAAAACAAAAAGUACAAGGACUGAGGGGAAAGAAAAAACUGUGAUUGUUCACAAUCUGAUUGUGUACAUAGAAAAUCCAAAAUAAUCUGUAAAUAAGCUAUUAGAAUUAAAAAAGGAAUCCAGUAAUUUGAGAUGGAGCAUAGAC